Molecule: long non-coding RNA, 1532 nt
Filed under: Betta splendens (Siamese fighting fish)
Lineage: Eukaryota; Metazoa; Chordata; Actinopteri; Anabantiformes; Osphronemidae
Description: lncRNA (ENSBSLG00000010465.1)
Source: RNAcentral
UAUCACUUGGGAUUUGUAGAAUAGAUCAGAGUCUUACCAGUGAUCUUGAAUUGGUGAAUUAGUGAUUGUAAACCACAUCACUAUUACUGGUGUUGGGGGACCUCAUAAUAAUAAUUCUGUUCAUAACAGAUUAUACAUAAGGUCCCACAUGCUCAGACAAAGGAGGCACUGCGGCCUGCAUGUAAAGUCCUCAUCCUGAUAGUAGUGAAUGAGAACAAAGAGAUUUCAAAUCUCAGCGCCAAAACCAGGCGCCAGGCUGGGGACCCAUACCUGGCUCCCCCGCUGACAUCCAACUCCCGCUGACACAAGCGACAAACGGAGGAGAAACUUGGACGUCAGCCGUCCUGAUUGGACCAAACAAUAGGACGGGCGUGACCAAAAACACGGUUAUAAAAGUCGCCGUGACCGAAGACUCGUCCCUUGUUCUCUCCCUUGUUCUCUUCGAUCACCCGUUACCCCUUGUUCUCUCCCUUGUUCUCUUCGAUCACCCGUUACCCCUUGUUCUCUCCCUUCUUCUCUUCGACCCUCUCGCUGCCCCACCUGGAGCUCCCUCUGCCCCCGGCACGCCUGGAACCUCCACCGCAGCCAGCAGCUGAACUAACGGGGACGUCGUCACAGAGAACGGGCCUGAUCACCCAUCUACUUCCAGCCACACGGCAGGAAACCGCCAGCGUAACCGCCUCACUCGCCGCCGCAUCAGCUGAUCGCGACGCGAUCACCGCGACGCACACCUGGACCGGACCGGACCGCAACAGCGCAAGCACGCACGCACGCACGCUCGCAACGCCGGAUCUUCUCACCAGGAUUGAGCAGUAAGGCAGAGGCAUUCUUAAGUCUGAGCAGAGUAGAACUCUUAGGGGAUCAGUAAUUGUUUUGUUGUUGUGUUUUCUUUUCCUGAACACGCGAUCUGGUCACUGUGUAUUUCCGCUAUCACGUGACUGUAACGCUGUUACCGAUCUACGUGAAUCUAAGAGGUGCACAUUGAAGUGUUGUAAUCUGUGAUUUCGCUAGCUUAAGUGCUUCAGUGUGUUACUGUGUAGUGCUCUGUUUCUGCUGCGACCACGCCAAGCGCACGUUUCAACCACCGCACGCUUCCGCGAUCACGUGACUAUAUCGCAGAAUAUAGCCCCACGUGUUUGUGUGACCACAAGCCUUAUCCACGCUAGUCCCACUUCACACUCCUUUACACGCUUCUUUCCCUGUGAGCGCCAGACACGCGGGCUCCAUUCAAAGGGCUCACCGGCACACGCGCGCAGCUGUGCCACCUCACCACGCCCCUAAAGGGGGGCGCUCUCCCUCCUCCUUUCUCUUUCUCUCUCUCUCUCUCUCACACACACACACACACACACACACACACACACACACACACACACACCUCUUAUCUUAGGUAACGCGCAUACACAUACAGAACGCCAGACGAACACAUCAUAAGAUUAAGUUGUGAUUUGCUGAGUUAUUCAAGAUAGUGUUGACACUAGAGUUAAUAUUAACUGUUUAAUAAAGCGUUCAUAAUUUAAUUGGUCGUUGUUUGU